This is a long non-coding RNA of Brienomyrus brachyistius, 471 nucleotides long. RefSeq lists it as uncharacterized. The transcript is spliced from 3 exons. The record is from RefSeq and is a predicted model, not a curated record. NCBI's taxonomy places the organism in Eukaryota, Metazoa, Chordata, Actinopteri, Osteoglossiformes, Mormyridae.
CUGACCAUUAAAUCGAAGCGCCAGGUCUUUCAGAGAGAGCUUCUGUCUUGGCUGAAUGAGUGUCACCAACACACUGAAAACCAUCCUGGGCUGGAGCUGAGCCUGGGUGAAACGGUACAGCAGCACCGGUGGGGAUGAAACGCAGUAAGAGCCUUUGGAGAAGAAGAGGCACAAGCCAGGGAGCCUCACAGGAGAGGUGCCUUCUUCUUCGAAAGGGAAGGAGGAAUCUUAGCUCGACCUACAGCCCUCUACAGGUCUCCCUUGAUUCACCAUCCCCCACACAUCUCUACUACUGUGACUGUUUGUUAACCAGCCUUCUGCCAUGGUCACAAGUUCAGCUUGAGAAUUGGAUUCCGCCAUACGCCAGUCUCUGGUUUUUAUAAGCGGAACCUGGUGUUGAGGCAUUGGGAUCCUGGGGAGCAGAACUUUUCUCAUCAGCUCCGGUCAACAGAGGCUCAAACUGGAGUCCGA